UACGUAGGGUGCGAGCGUUAAUCGGAAUUACUGGGCGUAAAGCGUGCGCAGGCGGUGAUGUAAGACAGGUGUGAAAUCCCCGGGCUUAACCUGGGAACUGCAUUUGUGACUGCAUCGCUGGAGUGCGGCAGAGGGGAUGGAAUUCCCAGUGUAGAGGUGAAAUUCGUAGAUAUUGGGAGAACACCAGUGGCGAAGGCGGCUCACUGGACCGACACUGACGCUGAGGCGCGAAAGCGU
RNAcentral lists this ribosomal RNA (237 nucleotides) under uncultured bacterium. Its description in RNAcentral is "partial 16S ribosomal RNA". It matches the Rfam family "Bacterial small subunit ribosomal RNA", at positions 524 to 762 of the family's 1533-position model. The record is from RNAcentral.